This 635-nucleotide ribosomal RNA is filed under the name uncultured Cortinarius. Its description in RNAcentral is "eukaryotic LSU rRNA". The stretch from base 231 to 384 matches the Rfam family "5.8S ribosomal RNA". The record is from RNAcentral. Lineage: Eukaryota; Fungi; Basidiomycota; Agaricomycetes; Agaricales; Cortinariaceae.
CUUGGUCAUUUAGAGGAAGUAAAAGUCGUAACAAGGUUUCCGUAGGUGAACCUGCGGAAGGAUCAUUAUUGAAAUAAACCUGAUGGGUUGUUGCUGGUUCUCUAGGGAGCAUGUGCACGCCUUGUCAUCUUUAUAUCUCCACCUGUGCACCUUUUGUAGACCUUUCAGGUCUAUGUUGCUUCAUUUACCCCAUGUAUGUUAAUAGAAUGUUGUGCCUAUAUAAUAUAUACAACUUUCAGCAACGGAUCUCUUGGCUCUCGCAUCGAUGAAGAACGCAGCGAAAUGCGAUAAGUAAUGUGAAUUGCAGAAUUCAGUGAAUCAUCGAAUCUUUGAACGCACCUUGCGCUCCUUGGUAUUCCGAGGAGCAUGCCUGUUUGAGCGUCAUUAAUAUAUAUAUCAACCUUCUCUUGUUGAGUGGGUUUGAAUGGGGGGGGUUUGCUGGCCUCUUAAAGGGUUCAGCUCCUCUGAAAUGCAUUAGCAGAACAACCCUGUUCAUUGGUGUGAUAACUAUCUACGCUAUUGAAUGUGAGGGGCAGUUCAGCUUUCUAACAGUCCUUUGGACAAAUCAUCAUUAAUGUUGACCUCAAAUCAGGUAGGACUACCCGCUGAACUUAAGCAUAUCAAUAAGCGGAGGA